RNAcentral lists this ribosomal RNA (724 nucleotides) under Physarum nivale. RNAcentral's name for it is "SSU rRNA". It matches the Rfam family "Eukaryotic small subunit ribosomal RNA", at positions 928 to 1648 of the family's 1831-position model. Lineage: Eukaryota; Evosea; Eumycetozoa; Physariida; Physaraceae. The record is from RNAcentral.
UGGCAAGUCGACCAAAGGCGAAAGCAGUCAUCAAGGGCAUGCCCGUUGAUCAAGAGCGAAAGUUAAGGGUUCGAAGACGAUCAGAUACCGUCGUAGUCUUAACUAUAAAUGAUGCAAACCAGGGAUAGGACACUGUCCAUCUCGACUCCUCCCGAACCUUAUAGAAAUUACAGUCUUUAGGUUCUGGGGGGAGUAUGGUCGCAAGGCUGAAACUUAAAGGAAUUGACGGAAGGGCACACAAAGAGUGGAACCUGCGGCUUAAUUUGACUCAACACGGGAAAACUCACCAGGUCCGGAUACACGUAUGAAAGUCAAGCUGAAAGACUUUACUCAAUGAUGUAAGUGGUGGUGCAUGGUCGUUCUUAGUUCGUGGAUUGAUUUGUCUGGUCUAUUCCGAUAACGAGCGAGACCCCAUCGUUCCUAAUAGGGGCGGUAGCCCGCCGAUCGAAAGGUCGGCAGCCUCCGCUUAAGAUUAACUUCUUAGACGUAUCAGAGCCGAUAAGGUUCUUGAAAUGGGUUAAUAACAGGUCAGUCAUGCCCUUAGAUGUUCUGGGCCGCACGCGCGUUACAAUGGCAUGUAUAGCGCGUGCUUGAAAAGGCGUCUCCGGGGCCGAAAGGUCCUGGUAACCCUUAAUCCCUGCCUUGACUGGGAUAGAUCUUUGCAAUUAUUGGUCUCCAACGAGGAAUUUUUAGUAGUCGUAGGUCAUUAACCUACGACGAAUGC